Molecule: ribosomal RNA, 2327 nt
Filed under: Escherichia coli
Lineage: Bacteria; Pseudomonadati; Pseudomonadota; Gammaproteobacteria; Enterobacterales; Enterobacteriaceae
Also listed under: 1 other name
Description: partial 23S ribosomal RNA
Rfam family: Bacterial large subunit ribosomal RNA
Source: RNAcentral
GAUAGUGAACCAGUACCGUGAGGGAAAGGCGAAAAGAACCCCGGCGAGGGGAGUGAAAAAGAACCUGAAACCGUGUACGUACAAGCAGUGGGAGCACGCUUAGGCGUGUGACUGCGUACCUUUUGUAUAAUGGGUCAGCGACUUAUAUUCUGUAGCAAGGUUAACCGAAUAGGGGAGCCGAAGGGAAACCGAGUCUUAACUGGGCGUUAAGUUGCAGGGUAUAGACCCGAAACCCGGUGAUCUAGCCAUGGGCAGGUUGAAGGUUGGGUAACACUAACUGGAGGACCGAACCGACUAAUGUUGAAAAAUUAGCGGAUGACUUGUGGCUGGGGGUGAAAGGCCAAUCAAACCGGGAGAUAGCUGGUUCUCCCCGAAAGCUAUUUAGGUAGCGCCUCGUGAAUUCAUCUCCGGGGGUAGAGCACUGUUUCGGCAAGGGGGUCAUCCCGACUUACCAACCCGAUGCAAACUGCGAAUACCGGAGAAUGUUAUCACGGGAGACACACGGCGGGUGCUAACGUCCGUCGUGAAGAGGGAAACAACCCAGACCGCCAGCUAAGGUCCCAAAGUCAUGGUUAAGUGGGAAACGAUGUGGGAAGGCCCAGACAGCCAGGAUGUUGGCUUAGAAGCAGCCAUCAUUUAAAGAAAGCGUAAUAGCUCACUGGUCGAGUCGGCCUGCGCGGAAGAUGUAACGGGGCUAAACCAUGCACCGAAGCUGCGGCAGCGACGCUUAUGCGUUGUUGGGUAGGGGAGCGUUCUGUAAGCCUGUGAAGGUGUGCUGUGAGGCAUGCUGGAGGUAUCAGAAGUGCGAAUGCUGACAUAAGUAACGAUAAAGCGGGUGAAAAGCCCGCUCGCCGGAAGACCAAGGGUUCCUGUCCAACGUUAAUCGGGGCAGGGUGAGUCGACCCCUAAGGCGAGGCCGAAAGGCGUAGUCGAUGGGAAACAGGUUAAUAUUCCUGUACUUGGUGUUACUGCGAAGGGGGGACGGAGAAGGCUAUGUUGGCCGGGCGACGGUUGUCCCGGUUUAAGCGUGUAGGCUGGUUUUCCAGGCAAAUCCGGAAAAUCAAGGCUGAGGCGUGAUGACGAGGCACUACGGUGCUGAAGCAACAAAUGCCCUGCUUCCAGGAAAAGCCUCUAAGCAUCAGGUAACAUCAAAUCGUACCCCAAACCGACACAGGUGGUCAGGUAGAGAAUACCAAGGCGCUUGAGAGAACUCGGGUGAAGGAACUAGGCAAAAUGGUGCCGUAACUUCGGGAGAAGGCACGCUGAUAUGUAGGUGAAGUCCCUCGCGGAUGGAGCUGAAAUCAGUCGAAGAUACCAGCUGGCUGCAACUGUUUAUUAAAAACACAGCACUGUGCAAACACGAAAGUGGACGUAUACGGUGUGACGCCUGCCCGGUGCCGGAAGGUUAAUUGAUGGGGUCAGCGCAAGCGAAGCUCUUGAUCGAAGCCCCGGUAAACGGCGGCCGUAACUAUAACGGUCCUAAGGUAGCGAAAUUCCUUGUCGGGUAAGUUCCGACCUGCACGAAUGGCGUAAUGAUGGCCAGGCUGUCUCCACCCGAGACUCAGUGAAAUUGAACUCGCUGUGAAGAUGCAGUGUACCCGCGGCAAGACGGAAAGACCCCGUGAACCUUUACUAUAGCUUGACACUGAACAUUGAGCCUUGAUGUGUAGGAUAGGUGGGAGGCUUAGAAGUGUGGACGCCAGUCUGCAUGGAGCCGACCUUGAAAUACCACCCUUUAAUGUUUGAUGUUCUAACGUUGACCCGUAAUCCGGGUUGCGGACAGUGUCUGGUGGGUAGUUUGACUGGGGCGGUCUCCUCCUAAAGAGUAACGGAGGAGCACGAAGGUUGGCUAAUCCUGGUCGGACAUCAGGAGGUUAGUGCAAUGGCAUAAGCCAGCUUGACUGCGAGCGUGACGGCGCGAGCAGGUGCGAAAGCAGGUCAUAGUGAUCCGGUGGUUCUGAAUGGAAGGGCCAUCGCUCAACGGAUAAAAGGUACUCCGGGGAUAACAGGCUGAUACCGCCCAAGAGUUCAUAUCGACGGCGGUGUUUGGCACCUCGAUGUCGGCUCAUCACAUCCUGGGGCUGAAGUAGGUCCCAAGGGUAUGGCUGUUCGCCAUUUAAAGUGGUACGCGAGCUGGGUUUAGAACGUCGUGAGACAGUUCGGUCCCUAUCUGCCGUGGGCGCUGGAGAACUGAGGGGGGCUGCUCCUAGUACGAGAGGACCGGAGUGGACGCAUCACUGGUGUUCGGGUUGUCAUGCCAAUGGCACUGCCCGGUAGCUAAAUGCGGAAGAGAUAAGUGCUGAAAGCAUCUAAGCACGAAACUUGCC